RNAcentral lists this ribosomal RNA (253 nucleotides) under uncultured bacterium. Its description in RNAcentral is "partial 16S ribosomal RNA". It matches the Rfam family "Bacterial small subunit ribosomal RNA", at positions 524 to 776 of the family's 1533-position model. The record is from RNAcentral.
UACGGGGGGAGCAAGCGUUGUUCGGAUUUACUGGGCGUAAAGGGCGCGUAGGCGGUCAGCACAAGUCAGUUGUGAAAUCUCCGGGCUUAACUCGGAAAGGUCAACUGAUACUGUGCGACUAGAGUGCAGAAGGGGCAACUGGAAUUCUCGGUGUAGCGGUGAAAUGCGUAGAUAUCGAGAGGAACACCUGCGGCGAAGGCGGUUGCUGGGCUGACACUGACGCUGAUGCGCGAAAGCCAGGGGAGCGAACGGG